This 73-nucleotide transfer RNA is filed under the name Pseudomonadota bacterium. Its description in RNAcentral is "tRNA-Ala". It matches the Rfam family "tRNA". From Rfam's summary of the family: Transfer RNA (tRNA) molecules are approximately 80 nucleotides in length. Their secondary structure includes four short double-helical elements and three loops (D, anti-codon, and T loops). The record is from RNAcentral. Lineage: Bacteria; Pseudomonadati; Pseudomonadota. RNAcentral also lists the same sequence under 2 other names.
GGGGCCGUAGCUCAAUUGGGAGAGCGCUGCGUUCGCAAUGCAGAGGUUAGGGGUUCGAUCCCCCUCGGCUCCA